Molecule: ribosomal RNA, 253 nt
Filed under: uncultured bacterium
Lineage: Bacteria
Description: partial 16S ribosomal RNA
Rfam family: Bacterial small subunit ribosomal RNA
Source: RNAcentral
UACGGGGGGGGCAAGCGUUGUUCGGAAUUACUGGGCGUAAAGGGCUCGUAGGCGGCCAACUAAGUCGGAUGUGAAAUCCCCAGGCUUAACCUGGGAACUGCAUCCGAUACUGGAUGGCUUGAAUUCGGGAGAGGGAUGCAGAAUUCCAGGUGUAGCGGUGAAAUGCGUAGAUAUCUGGAGGAACACCUGCGGUGUAGACGGCUUACUGGACCAUAACUGACGCUGAGGCACGAAAGCGUGGGUAGCAAACAGG